RNAcentral lists this ribosomal RNA (542 nucleotides) under Bakernema inaequale. RNAcentral's name for it is "bacterial SSU rRNA". The stretch from base 94 to 542 matches the Rfam family "Eukaryotic small subunit ribosomal RNA", at positions 1117 to 1605 of the family's 1831-position model. Lineage: Eukaryota; Metazoa; Nematoda; Chromadorea; Rhabditida; Criconematidae. The record is from RNAcentral.
CCAGGGGGGAGAUCAGAUACCGCCUAGUGCGGCAAGUAACGAGCAUCCUCUGUUUGGUCCCCAGUGGGCCAUGACCUUUCGGAAACAACUUUCGGGGAAAGAGGUCAAGAAACUUAAAGAAUUAGGAAAGGGCCCCAGAGUGGAGCCUGCGGCUUAUUUGACUCAACACGGGAAAACUCACCCGGCCCGGACACCGUGAGGAUUGACAGAUUGAUAGCUUUUUCAUGAUUCGGUGGUUGGUGGUGCAUGGCCGUUCGUUAGUUCGUGGAUCGAUUUGUCUGGUUUAUUCCGAUAACGAGCGAGACUCCAGCCUACUAACUAGUGCUGGCAUUGCUUCUUGUGCUAUGCACUUUCUUAGAGGGAUUGGCUGCGUCUAGCGGCACGAAACGGAGCAAUAACAGGUCUGUGAUGCCCUUAGAUGUCCGGGGCUGCACGCGCGCUACACUGGCAAAGGCAGCGUGCUUUCCGUCUCCGAAAGGGCCGGUAAACCCUUGAAAAUUUGCCGUGAUUGGGAUCGGAAAUGCAAUUAUUUCAAGUGAACG